This 709-nucleotide ribosomal RNA is filed under the name uncultured bacterium. RNAcentral's name for it is "bacterial SSU rRNA". It matches the Rfam family "Bacterial small subunit ribosomal RNA", at positions 8 to 715 of the family's 1533-position model. The record is from RNAcentral.
AGAGUUUGAUCCUGGCUCAGGAUGAACGCUAGCGGGAGGCUUAACACAUGCAAGCCGAGGGGUAUUGAGUUGCUUGCAGCUCGAGAGACCGGCGUACGGGUGAGUAACGCGUAUGUAACUUGCCUCAUUCAACGGGAUAGCCCGGGGAAACCCGGAUUAAUAUCGUAUAACAGCCGGACAGGCAUCUGUUUGGUUUGAAAGAUUUAUCGGAAUGAGAUAGACAUGCGUCAGAUUAGUUAGUUGGCGGGGUAACGGCCCACCAAGGCGAUGAUCUGUAGGGGUACUGAGAGGUAGAUCCCCCACACUGGUACUGAGACACGGACCAGACUCCUACGGGAGGCAGCAGUGAGGAAUAUUGGACAAUGGGUGAGAGCCUGAUCCAGCCAUCCCGCGUGCAGGAAGACGGCCUUAUGGGUUGUAAACUGCUUUUAUACAGGAAUAAACCACCUUUCGUGAAGGGUGUUGAAGGUACUGUAUGAAUAAGCACCGGCUAACUCCGUGCCAGCAGCCGCGGUAAUACGGAGGGUGCAAGCGUUAUCCGGAUUUAUUGGGUUUAAAGGGUCCGCAGGCGGACUAGUAAGUCAGGGGUGAAAUCCGGCAGCUUAACUGUCGAACUGCCUUUGAUACUGCAAGUCUUGAGUGGGAAUGAAGCAGCUGGAAUGUGUGGUGUAGCGGUGAAAUGCAUAGAUAUCACACAGAACACCGAUAG